This 370-nucleotide long non-coding RNA is filed under the name Nicotiana benthamiana. RNAcentral's name for it is "long non-coding RNA (NBEN_LNC002053)". The record is from RNAcentral. Lineage: Eukaryota; Viridiplantae; Streptophyta; Magnoliopsida; Solanales; Solanaceae.
GGAGCCGGACAGAUAUUAAGCCACAUGGUACCAGGUGACUUUCAAAUGUAGAGCUAUAUCUCACAACUGAGAUUGUUUGUAACAGGUAUCUACAUGAAAGGAUAAUCAGCCAAAUAUUACAUGAAAGGUAUUUUAGUUGCAGAAACAGGACAUUUAGCAGAGGAAAGAAAAGGCACAAGUUUCAAAUUUUGGAGGAAAUAAGCAAACGAACUGCGCUGUGAAUGGAGAAAUGACAAAUCCAAAGAAGAAGCCAACUUUGAAACUCAAUUGAAGAGAACUGGAUGUGCUUAAAGUACAACUGUAGCACAAUUUUCCUAUUACCCUCUACAUUUUUAGAAGUUUAUGGAAGUAUACAUGUCAUCUUCGUUAU